This is a non-coding RNA of Callorhinus ursinus (northern fur seal), 65 nucleotides long. Lineage: Eukaryota; Metazoa; Chordata; Mammalia; Carnivora; Otariidae. The record is from RefSeq and is a predicted model, not a curated record.
UUUCCCCACACUACAAUUGAAAAUGCAGGUCACUGGGAAAAUAAACUCAUUUAGAAUUGGAUUCU